This 429-nucleotide ribosomal RNA is filed under the name uncultured bacterium. Its description in RNAcentral is "bacterial SSU rRNA". It matches the Rfam family "Bacterial small subunit ribosomal RNA", at positions 30 to 479 of the family's 1533-position model. The record is from RNAcentral.
AUUGAACGCUGGCGGCAUGCCUUACACAUGCAAGUCGAACGGCAGCACGGGAGCAAUCCUGGUGGCGAGUGGCGAACGGGUGAGUAAUAUAUCGGAACGUGCCCAGUCGUGGGGAUAACGUAGCGAAAGCUACGCUAAUACCGCAUACGAUCUAUGGAUGAAAGCGGGGGAUCGCAAGACCUCGCGCGAUUGGAGCGGCCGAUAUCAGAUUAGGUAGUUGGUGAGGUAAAGGCUCACCAAGCCGACGAUCUGUAGCUGGUCUGAGAGGACGACCAGCCACACUGGGACUGAGACACGGCCCAGACUCCUACGGGAGGCAGCAGUGGGGAAUAUUGGACAAUGGGCGAAAGCCUGAUCCAGCAAUGCCGCGUGAGUGAUGAAGGCCUUAGGGUUGUAAGCUCUUUUACCCGAGAUGAUAAUGACAGUAUC